UGGUAGAUCAGCCAACAACUGCCCUCUGGAAUUACUGCACCUACCAAAAGCCUUUUCAAGCAUCAACAGAAUCCCGACUUUCCUCCCAACUUUCCUAGUUUGUCCAGGAGGUGCUGUGGAAAAGACAACAAUAUCUUGCUUUUCCUCUGGCAGCGUCAUAACCAAGAGAUGAAGAGCUUAUCUGAGUACUUCAGAAAAAGGUGAAAAAUAAUCAGAGAGGAAAGUGAGCUUGUCCUUUUACAUUCUUCCUUCACAAACAAAUACUACAGGUAAGUCCUGCUAAAAUAUAAUCUCCUUGGGUCAGGAACAACAUUUUCUUAAAUGCCUGUUGUAGUUCUAUACAUA
Long non-coding RNA from Passer domesticus (house sparrow), 345 nucleotides. RefSeq lists it as uncharacterized. The record is from RefSeq and is a predicted model, not a curated record. The transcript has 3 exons. NCBI's taxonomy places the organism in Eukaryota, Metazoa, Chordata, Aves, Passeriformes, Passeridae.